GCCGGAGGGAAACCGAGUCUUAAUUGGGCGUUAAGUUGCAGGGUAUAGACCCGAAACCCGGUGAUCUAGCCAUGGGCAGGUUGAAGGUUGGGUAACACUAACUGGAGGACCGAACCGACUAAUGUUGAAAAAUUAGCGGAUGACCUGUGGCUGGGGGUGAAAGGCCAAUCAAACCGGGAGAUAGCUGGUUCUCCCCGAAAGCUAUUUAGGUAGCGCCUCGUGAAUUCAUCUCCGGGGGUAGAGCACUGUUUCGGCUAGGGGGCCAUCCCGGCUUACCAACCCGAUGCAAACUGCGAAUACCGGAGAAUGUUAUCACGGGAGACACACGGCGGGUGCUAACGUCCGUCGUGAAGAGGGAAACAACCCAGACCGCCAGCUAAGGUCCCAAAGUCAUGGUUAAGUGGGAAACGAUGUGGGAAGGCCCAGACAGCCAGGAUGUUGGCUUAGAAGCAGCCAUCAUUUAAAGAAAGCGUAAUAGCUCACUGGUCGAGUCGGCCUGCGCGGAAGAUGUAACGGGGCUAAACCAUGCACCGAAGCUGCGGCAGCGAACGUAUCACCCAAGACAACUUUACGGAGUUGACGAUUGACGGAGCGAAGCGACGUCAAAGCGUUCAUUAAAGUCGAGUUGGCUUAGGGAUACGUUCGUUGGGUAGGGGAGCGUUCUGUAAGCCUGUGAAGGUGUGUCGUGAGGCAUGCUGGAGGUAUCAGAAGUGCGAAUGCUGACAUAAGUAACGAUAAAGCGGGUGAAAAGCCCGCUCGCCGGAAGACCAAGGGUUCCUGUCCAACGUUAAUCGGGGCAGGGUGAGUCGACCCCUAAGGCGAGGCCGAAAGGCGUAGUCGAUGGGAAACGGGUUAAUAUUCCCGUACUUGGUGUUACUGCGAAGGGGGGACGGAGAAGGCUAUGUUGGCCGGGCGACGGUUGUCCCGGUUUAAGCGUGUAGGUGUGUGUUCCAGGUAAAUCCGGUUCACUUUAACACUGAGGCGUGACGACGAGGCACUACGGUGCUGAAGCAAC
This 1015-nucleotide ribosomal RNA is filed under the name Salmonella enterica subsp. enterica serovar Typhimurium. RNAcentral's name for it is "partial 23S ribosomal RNA". It matches the Rfam family "Bacterial large subunit ribosomal RNA", at positions 665 to 1594 of the family's 2925-position model. Lineage: Bacteria; Pseudomonadati; Pseudomonadota; Gammaproteobacteria; Enterobacterales; Enterobacteriaceae. The record is from RNAcentral.